RNAcentral lists this long non-coding RNA (375 nucleotides) under Manihot esculenta (cassava). RNAcentral's name for it is "long non-coding RNA (MESC_LNC012433)". Lineage: Eukaryota; Viridiplantae; Streptophyta; Magnoliopsida; Malpighiales; Euphorbiaceae. The record is from RNAcentral.
UUCAUUCAUACUUACUGUUAUUUUUGUUUACUUCUUGUUUUGUUUUCUGCCUUCUUUACUCCUUCUUUAUACUCUGCUCUGUUCUAGUUCACUUACUCUUCUAUCCUUUCUCACUUUCUUUCUUAUUCUUACUCUUUUCUUUCUUUUUUUUUUUUUGCUUCUUUCUCUUAUUUGGGCUAUCUUACUUUCUCUUAGUUUUACUCUCCUUGAGAAAUCACUUCUCACUAUACCUGGGACCAUGAAAACCUGAGACCACAAUGUCUCAUAGCAACUCUCUCUCUAGCUCUCUUCCUUCUUCAAUUCUCUAACCUCUCUUCUCUGAAUCUGCAUCUUUUAACUUUUACUUUUCCUCUGAAUCUUUAUCUAAAAUUUAAC